Molecule: ribosomal RNA, 253 nt
Filed under: uncultured bacterium
Lineage: Bacteria
Description: partial 16S ribosomal RNA
Rfam family: Bacterial small subunit ribosomal RNA
Source: RNAcentral
UACGUAGGGCGCAAGCGUUGUCCGGAAUUAUUGGGCGUAAAGAGCUCGUAGGCGGCCUGUUGCGUCCGCUGUGAAAUCCCGGGGCUCAACCCCGGGCGUGCAGUGGAUACGGGCUGGCUGGAGGCAGGCAGGGGAGAACGGAAUUCCUGGUGUAGCGGUGAAAUGCGCAGAUAUCAGGAGGAACACCGAUGGCGAAGGCAGCUCGCUGGGACGGUACUGACGCUGAGGCGCGAAAGCGUGGGGAGCAAACAGG